RNAcentral lists this non-coding RNA (233 nucleotides) under Erysipelotrichaceae bacterium. Its description in RNAcentral is "T-box sequence". It matches the Rfam family "T-box leader". Rfam says of the family: Uncharged tRNA acts as the effector for transcription antitermination of genes in the T-box leader family. Lineage: Bacteria; Bacillati; Bacillota; Erysipelotrichia; Erysipelotrichales; Erysipelotrichaceae. The record is from RNAcentral.
ACAAAAACGAUGAAAAGAAGAGUACCUAGACAUACCUUUCUUAGAGAGUUCCGCUUGGUGAAAAGGAACAAAGGCAAAGCUAGUGAAGAUGGUCUUGGAGUUGUAUACAUGAGCGUAAGUGAAUGUAUAUCGGGUUCGCCCGUUAAAGCGAUAGUGUUUGUUAGAACAUGAAGAGGUACAGCUUGUGAGAGUUGUACGAAUAUAGGUGGUACCACGAAUCUUUCGUCCUAUGG